GUGACUAUGGCAGACUUGGCAAUGCAGCGGAUUGUGGUUCCGCCUUAUAUGGGUUCAAAUCCCAUUAGUCACCU
This 74-nucleotide transfer RNA is filed under the name Siphoviridae sp. ctDXu9. RNAcentral's name for it is "tRNA-His". It matches the Rfam family "tRNA". From Rfam's summary of the family: Transfer RNA (tRNA) molecules are approximately 80 nucleotides in length. Their secondary structure includes four short double-helical elements and three loops (D, anti-codon, and T loops). RNAcentral also lists the same sequence under 1 other name. The record is from RNAcentral. Lineage: Duplodnaviria; Heunggongvirae; Uroviricota; Caudoviricetes.